GAUGGACGCUGGCGGCGUGCUUAACACAUGCAAGUCGAACGAAGCACUUUAUUUGAUUUCCUUCGGGACUGAUUAUUUUGUGACUGAGUGGCGGACGGGUGAGUAACGCGUGGGUAACCUGCCUUGUACAGGGGGAUAACAGUUGGAAACGGCUGCUAAUACCGCAUAAGCGCACAGCAUCGCAUGAUGCAGUGUGAAAAACUCCGGUGGUAUAAGAUGGACCCGCGUUGGAUUAGCUAGUUGGUGAGGUAACGGCCCACCAAGGCGACGAUCCAUAGCCGACCUGAUAGGGUGACCGGCCACAUUGGGACUGAGACACGGCCCAAACUACUACGGGAAGCAGCAGUGGGGAAUAUUGCACAAUGGGCGAAAGCCUGAUGCAGCGACGCCGCGUGAGCGAAGAAGUAUGUCGGUAUGUAAAGCUCUAUCAGCAGGGAAGAUAAUGACGUUACCUGACUAAGAAGCACCGGCUAAAUACGUG
Molecule: ribosomal RNA, 481 nt
Filed under: uncultured bacterium
Lineage: Bacteria
Description: partial 16S ribosomal RNA
Rfam family: Bacterial small subunit ribosomal RNA
Source: RNAcentral